Molecule: transfer RNA, 75 nt
Filed under: Ignavibacteriales bacterium CG07_land_8_20_14_0_80_59_12
Lineage: Bacteria; Pseudomonadati; Ignavibacteriota; Ignavibacteria; Ignavibacteriales
Description: tRNA-Val
Rfam family: tRNA
About the family: Transfer RNA (tRNA) molecules are approximately 80 nucleotides in length. Their secondary structure includes four short double-helical elements and three loops (D, anti-codon, and T loops). Further hydrogen bonds mediate the characteristic L-shaped molecular structure. tRNAs have two regions of fundamental functional importance: the anti-codon, which is responsible for specific mRNA codon recognition, and the 3' end, to which the tRNAs corresponding amino acid is attached (by aminoacyl-tRNA synthetases). tRNAs cope with the degeneracy of the genetic code in two manners: having more than one tRNA (with a specific anti-codon) for a particular amino acid; and 'wobble' base-pairing, i.e. permitting non-standard base-pairing at the 3rd anti-codon position.
Source: RNAcentral
GGGCGGUUAGCUCAGCUGGUCCAGAGCGCCUCCCUUACAAGGAGGAGGUCGCAGGUUCGAACCCCGCACCGCCCA